RNAcentral lists this ribosomal RNA (1114 nucleotides) under Arthrobacter methylotrophus. RNAcentral describes it as "bacterial SSU rRNA". It matches the Rfam family "Bacterial small subunit ribosomal RNA", at positions 60 to 1183 of the family's 1533-position model. Lineage: Bacteria; Bacillati; Actinomycetota; Actinomycetes; Micrococcales; Micrococcaceae. The record is from RNAcentral.
AGUCGAACGAUGAUCCCCAGCUUGCUGGGGUGAUUAGUGGCGAACGGGUGAGUAACACGUGAGUAACCUGCCCUUGACUCUGGGAUAAGCCUGGGAAACUGGGUCUAAUACCGGAUAUGACCGAUCACCGCAUGGUGUGUUGGUGGAAAGCUUUUGUGGUUUUGGAUGGACUCGCGGCCUAUCAGCUUGUUGGUGAGGUAAUGGCUCACCAAGGCGACGACGGGUAGCCGGCCUGAGAGGGUGACCGGCCACACUGGGACUGAGACACGGCCCAGACUCCUACGGGAGGCAGCAGUGGGGAAUAUUGCACAAUGGGCGCAAGCCUGAUGCAGCGACGCCGCGUGAUGGAUGAAGGCCUUCGGGUUGUAAACAUCUUUCAGUAGGGAAGAAGCGAAAGUGACGGUACCUGCAGAAGAAGCGCCGGCUAACUACGUGCCAGCAGCCGCGGUAAUACGUAGGGCGCAAGCGUUAUCCGGAAUUAUUGGGCGUAAAGAGCUCGUAGGCGGUUUGUCGCGUCUGCUGUGAAAGCCCGGGGCUCAACCCCGGGUCUGCAGUGGGUACGGGCAGACUAGAGUGCAGUAGGGGAGACUGGAAUUCCUGGUGUAGCGGUGAAAUGCGCAGAUAUCAGGAGGAACACCGAUGGCGAAGGCAGGUCUCUGGGCUGUAACUGACGCUGAGGAGCGAAAGCAUGGGGAGCGAACAGGAUUAGAUACCCUGGUAGUCCAUGCCGUAAACGUUGGGCACUAGGUGUGGGGGACAUUCCACGUUUUCCGCGCCGUAGCUAACGCAUUAAGUGCCCCGCCUGGGGAGUACGGCCGCAAGGCUAAAACUCAAAGGAAUUGACGGGGGCCCGCACAAGCCGGCGGAGCAUGCGGAUUAAUUCGAUGCAACGCGAAGAACCUUACCAAGGCUUGACAUGAACCGGUAACGCUCAGAGAUGGGCGCCCCCUCUUGUGGCCGGGUUACAGGUGGUGCAUGGUUGUCGUCAGCUCGUGUCGUGAGAUGUUGGGUUAAGUCCCGCAACGAGCGCAACCCUCGUUCUAUGUUGCCAGCGCGUUUUGGCGGGGACUCAUAGGAGACUGCCGGGGUCAACUCGGAGGAAGGUGGGGACGAC